AGACGCAUAGCUCAACGGUUAGAGCGCAAGUUUCGCAAACUUGAAGUUGCGGGUUCAAAUCCCGUUACGUCGA
This 73-nucleotide transfer RNA is filed under the name Thermoplasmata archaeon. RNAcentral's name for it is "tRNA-Ala". It matches the Rfam family "tRNA". Rfam says of the family: Transfer RNA (tRNA) molecules are approximately 80 nucleotides in length. Their secondary structure includes four short double-helical elements and three loops (D, anti-codon, and T loops). RNAcentral also lists the same sequence under 1 other name. The record is from RNAcentral. Lineage: Archaea; Methanobacteriati; Thermoplasmatota; Thermoplasmata.